This 460-nucleotide ribosomal RNA is filed under the name uncultured bacterium. RNAcentral's name for it is "bacterial SSU rRNA". It matches the Rfam family "Bacterial small subunit ribosomal RNA", at positions 31 to 502 of the family's 1533-position model. The record is from RNAcentral.
GAACGCUGGCGGUGCGCCUUAUGCAUGCAAGUUGAGCGAAGCUUUUUGGUAGUUUACUACUAGAAAUGACUGAGCGGCGAACGGGUGAGUAACGCGUGAGCAAUCUACCUUAGUUACUGGGAUAGCCCGAGGAAACUCGGAUUAAUACCGGAUAUUCUUAUUUUUUCACAUGAAGUUUUAAGGAAAGGUCAGCCGAACUAAGAUGAGCUCGCGUUCUAUCAGCUAGUUGGUGGGGUAAAAGCCUACCAAGGCUACGACGGAUAGCUGGUCUGAGAGGACGAUCAGCCACACUGGGACUGAGACACGGCCCAGACUCCUACGGGAGGCUGCAGCAGGGAAUAUUGUGCAAUGAGCGAAAGCUUGACACAGCGACACCGCGUGUGGGAUGACGGUUCUAGGAUUGUAAACCACUUUCAGGGGGAAGAAAAUGACGGUACCUCCAAAGAAGACCCGGCCAACU